GUCGAGCGGACAGAAGGGAGCUUGCUCCCGGAUGUUAGCGGCGGACGGGUGAGUAACACGUGGGUAACCUGCCUGUAAGACUGGGAUAACUCCGGGAAACCGGAGCUAAUACCGGAUAGUUCCUUGAACCGCAUGGUUCAAGGAUGAAAGACGGUUUCGGCUGUCACUUACAGAUGGACCCGCGGCGCAUUAGCUAGUUGGUGGGGUAAUGGCUCACCAAGGCGACGAUGCGUAGCCGACCUGAGAGGGUGAUCGGCCACACUGGGACUGAGACACGGCCCAGACUCCUACGGGAGGCAGCAGUAGGGAAUCUUCCGCAAUGGACGAAAGUCUGACGGAGCAACGCCGCGUGAGUGAUGAAGGUUUUCGGAUCGUAAAGCUCUGUUGUUAGGGAAGAACAAGUGCGAGAGUAACUGCUCGCACCUUGACGGUACCUAACCAGAAAGCCACGGCUAACUACGUGCCAGCAGCCGCGGUAAUACGUAGGUGGCAAGCGUUGUCCGGAAUUAUUGGGCGUAAAGGGCUCGCAGGCGGUUUCUUAAGUCUGAUGUGAAAGCCCCCGGCUCAACCGGGGAGGGUCAUUGGAAACUGGGAAACUUGAGUGCAGAAGAGGAGAGUGGAAUUCCACGUGUAGCGGUGAAAUGCGUAGAGAUGUGGAGGAACACCAGUGGCGAAGGCGACUCUCUGGUCUGUAACUGA
This 699-nucleotide ribosomal RNA is filed under the name Bacillus sp. (in: firmicutes). Its description in RNAcentral is "bacterial SSU rRNA". It matches the Rfam family "Bacterial small subunit ribosomal RNA", at positions 61 to 743 of the family's 1533-position model. Lineage: Bacteria; Bacillati; Bacillota; Bacilli; Caryophanales; Bacillaceae. The record is from RNAcentral.